This 253-nucleotide ribosomal RNA is filed under the name uncultured bacterium. RNAcentral describes it as "partial 16S ribosomal RNA". It matches the Rfam family "Bacterial small subunit ribosomal RNA", at positions 524 to 776 of the family's 1533-position model. The record is from RNAcentral.
GACGUAGGGCGCGAGCGUUGUCCGGAUUUAUUGGGCGUAAAGAGCUCGUAGGCGGCUUGUCGCGUCGUCCGUGAAAACUUGGGGCUCAACCCCAAGCUUGCGGUCGAUACGGGCAGGCUCGAGUUCGGUAGGGGAGACUGGAAUUCCUGGUGUAGCGGUGAAAUGCGCAGAUAUCAGGAGGAACACCCGUGGCGAAAGCGGCUCUCUGGGACGGUACUGACGCUGAGGUGCGAAAGCGUGGGGAGCAAACAGG